This 379-nucleotide ribosomal RNA is filed under the name Tubificoides brownae. Its description in RNAcentral is "partial 12S ribosomal RNA". It matches the Rfam family "Bacterial small subunit ribosomal RNA", at positions 875 to 1415 of the family's 1533-position model. The record is from RNAcentral. Lineage: Eukaryota; Metazoa; Annelida; Clitellata; Tubificida; Naididae.
UCCCAAAAUAAAAACUUGCCGGGGACUACAAACUUCCAUUUAAAACUCAAAGAUCUUGGCGGUGUCUUAUACACUCAGGGAAACCUGUCCCUUAAUACGAUAAUCCACGAAUGUAUAAACCCCUCUUGAAAUCCCAGCCUGUGUACUGCCGUCAUAAGUAUGCCUCCAAGAGCAAGCAUGCAAAAAUAAUAAUAAUAUUUAAGUCAGGUCAAAGUGCAGCCUAUGAGGGGUUGGAGAUGGGUUACACUCUUAAAAUAGCUACCAAAAUUCCUUGAAAAAUGGGUUAAAAGCUGGACUUGAAAGUAAUAAUAUCAACUAAAAUAUUAUGAAGAGGAAUCUAAGACAUGCACAUAUCGCCCGUCACUCUCACCGAAAGGCG